Passer montanus (Eurasian tree sparrow) is the source of this 1438-nucleotide RNA transcript. It is a transcript of the gene named regulatory factor X associated ankyrin containing protein, with no coding region annotated. The transcript has 9 exons. The record is from RefSeq and is a predicted model, not a curated record. NCBI's taxonomy places the organism in Eukaryota, Metazoa, Chordata, Aves, Passeriformes, Passeridae.
GAAGGGAUCGGGAUCGGCGGUGAGGGGCUGCGGAGGUCCCGGGGUGCCGGGCUCGGAGGAGCUCCGGGAGCGGAGGUUGGGAGUGUUGGGAGUGCCGGGAACGGGGACGGCGAGAGCGACCCCGGGAACGGGGAUGGGGACAGAGAGGGGGACCCCAGAAAUAGAGACGGGAACGGCGAGAGGGACCCGGGAACGGGGGUGGGAAGGGAAGGGGGAUCCCAAAACUGGGAUGAGAACAAUAAGGGGGACCCCGGGAAUGGGGACGGGGGGCAGAGGGGGCCCAGGCCCCACUGCAGGGUGGGGGUCUCGGGGUCGGUCCCGCACGUCCCUGAGCCCCUUCUCCACCCCACCCCCGUGCAGGGACGGCGAAGGAGCUGUCGGGGACCCCCUGCAGCACAGGACCCCCAGAACUGGGGGGAAAGAGGGAAAGGGCAGCAUGGGGGACAGCGGGGUCCCCCCGGCGUGUCCCCUGCAGGACGGGGACACAGCGCUCCCGGAACGAGGGGACGGUGCAGCCCAGACCCCAGCCCAUUCCUCGGCUGCUCCCGUGGAGUCCCCGAGCCCCAGCGAGCCCCUGGACGGUUUCCCCCUGAAGCAUUCCAACACCUUGACCAACAGACAGAGAGGCAACGAGGUGUCAGCGCUGCCGGCCACGCUGGACACGCUGUCCAUCCACCAGCUCGCUGCCCAAGGGGAGCUCACCCAGCUGAAGGAGCACCUGAGGAAAGGUGAGAAUUUGGUGAACAAACCCGACGAGAGAGGCUUCACCCCCCUGCUCUGGGCCGCAGCCUUCGGGGAGAUCGAGACCGUGCGGCACCUGCUGGAGUGGGGAUUAUUUUGGGAAUUUUGUUUUGGGAUCCCCAGGGCGCCGAUCCCCACGCGCUGGCCAAGGAGCGCGAGAGCGCGCUGGCCCUGGCCAGCAUGGGCGGCUACACCGACAUCGUCACCAUGCUGCUGGACAGGGACGUGGACAUCAACACCUUCGACUGGAACGGGGGCACCCCCCUGCUCUACGCCGUGCGCGGGAACCACGUCAAGUGUGUGGAGGCCCUGCUGGCUUCGGGGCGCCUGUUCCCCCAUUGCUGCCCUGCAGCGUGCGGCGCUGACCUGACCGAGGAGGCGGAUUCGGGGUACACCCCCAUGGACCUGGCCGUGGCCCUGGGACACAAGAAAGUCCAGCAGGUUAUCGAGAACCACAUCCUGAAGCUGUUCCAGAACAAGAAGUGAGGCAGCAGCUCCAGCUCUUCCCAGGGUCACCAUGGCCUCAUCCCGGCCUGGAGAAAUCCAGGAAUUUCUGCCCUGGUGGAUCCAGGCUUCACCCGGGGUGGCAUGGCUGCCGUGCUGAAAUCCAGGGACACUCACUCCAGCCCUGGCUCGGCUGCUCCGUGUUUGCCCUCAGAAGUAAACUCUAAUUGCAAUUAAACUCCGUGGAGCCCCA